UGCACCAAAAGACAGCGAUCGGUGAGCUGCGCCUGGCCAUUCGUGUCACCUCCGACGAUAAGCCACUCUAACGAUUCUUCCUCUUCUUCUUCUUCCUCCUCCUCAUAAAACAGUACUUAAAUUACAAGACGCAGCCAAGCAAACGCGCGCGCACACACACCAUUCCUGAAUCCUGGCCAACUGGUAAAAUCCUGGCCAACUGGUAAACUUAUUAAUGGAGUUCUUGGAUAACGGUAGGCUAUGAGGAGGUUGGUGGCUGCAUGAACUUUUGGGAAUUAAAGAGGGAGACGGUGACCGGGUGUUCAGGGAGUGUAUGAUGGGAAAGUCUACGGCAGAUGCUCUCCAUACCUGGAGCUCCUUGACGUGAAGAGUAAGGGUGUUAAGGUGCGAAAUAUCCAUAAAUGGUACUAGUAGACACAAGAUACUGUUCUUGGAAGCUUAGCUUAAUUAUUUUUGCCCCUAUGUGAGAUACUCCUAUCUAUCUGAAUGAAUGGAUCCUGUUGAACAAGAAAACUGAAAAAAUCGAGAAAAUAAAAUAAAAUAACAUCGAACUAUUUUAACUGGAAUUCGAAGUUGAAGUAUGAAUCCUAAUAACAGAGCCUUCUGCAAGAACAGAGCAAAAAAGAAAAGAAAAGGAUUUGACCAAGAGAGUAUAGGAAGAG
This 662-nucleotide long non-coding RNA is filed under the name Oryza brachyantha (malo sina). RNAcentral describes it as "long non-coding RNA (OBRA_LNC003460)". The record is from RNAcentral. Lineage: Eukaryota; Viridiplantae; Streptophyta; Magnoliopsida; Poales; Poaceae.